ACGAAACAUGCCUUCCAUCAUAAGUGUCGGUGUUAUGAAGAUUAUAAUUAUGUAAAAAGAGAAAGAUUAAGAAAGAACAUUACCCCAGUAACCUUAACAUACUGACCAUCAAUGGCACCUCUAAGUUCAGCAUCAGGAUACCUUUUCACAAACCCUAAAAGCCCUUUUCUUCCCAAAACACAAUUCCAAAUAAUCAAAACCAAAACAGGAACAAUAACACCACCAAGUGCAAACAAAAUCACAUUUUUCUUAACAGCGACCAUCAAAAACACUCCAACAAGCAAACACAUUGCGACCACCACCAUAAAAACCCAAACCACCGACCUUGAAACCCUAAACCCAACUUUCACUUCUUCACCCAAACUCGUCACCGCCGACCCAUAAACCGCUUUCCCCAUCGACCCACUUUGCUCCAACUGCCCUGACCGUCUACUCGCCCCAACCGGACCGGAUCCCACUGGUCCGGAAGUUAUUAAACCAGUUGGCUGUAACGCUAUUGGUCCAGACCCGGUUGAUUUUCUCGACAACGUACCGGACCCAGUAAUAUUCUUUCCCACCUGACCCGAAUUUGGUCUGGAUCUCGCUGGCCCAGUGCUAAGUUGAGAAGAAGAAGAAGAUGGAUGAGAUUUCGGAUCUAGAACGGGAAUAUCUAACAUUUUACCAAGCUCACCGGAUUUCUUCGGGUCACCGCCGGUGUACGGUACAGAACGGGAAGCCAUUGUCGGUGGUUGUCGUUCUUUAGGUUGUUCGGGUCGACCUGAGACAUAGAGUCCAGAACUUAAUUGAUGUGAAGGGAUUCGAGUCCCCAUUGAAGCUUUGAAAGCUUGGAAAGGAUGAAAGUUUGUAUUGUUACACAGUGUGAGAGUGAAGAAGAAGAAGCUUCACUGGAUUCAGUUUCGUGGGAAAUGACGUGUAUGUCCCUGGAACAUGUUUCCAAGACACGUUGUUCUGUUUGAUGAAUGGUGAUGCUUUUGUAGUUUCGUGUUAACUUGUGUCCCCACGUUCUGUUUAUUUUUACCUUUUUACCCUCUUUAACUAUCCUUUUUAUUCUUUUUAACAACUUUAUAUCUUUUCUUGCUUUACUUUCUCCACAUUAUCUCUAAAGUAAAUACGGUAAUAAUGUUCUUACACAAUUUUUUAGAGAAAAAAAAUGUUCCUGGGCAAUUAAUGUUCUACUCUUUUUUUUUUUUUUUAGUAAUUAAUGUUCUACUCUUAUGAUGUGAUAUGGUGUGUGAUUUGGAUAUUUUUUUGACAAAAACAAAAUGAUAUCCAUUUAUUGAAUUAUCUCUAAAGUAAAUAUGGUAAUAAUGUUCUUACACAAUUUUUUAGAUAAAAAAUGUUCGAGU
RNAcentral lists this long non-coding RNA (1346 nucleotides) under Medicago truncatula (barrel medic). RNAcentral's name for it is "lncRNA gene8328". The record is from RNAcentral. Lineage: Eukaryota; Viridiplantae; Streptophyta; Magnoliopsida; Fabales; Fabaceae.